GACUUACCCUUUUUGGGUGGAGAGGAAGGAUGUUCUUUCUUAUAUAUGCUUGUUGCAUUAUUGAUUCCAAGUUUAAUUUUCUACAUGAGAAAACAAAUACUAUUUGUGGAUAGAUAGAGAGAGAAGUGCCACUUGCAUCAUCAACACCAAUUAUGAUAAGCAUCUUCCUUUUUCUAAGGAAAACCAUGUGAAUGACAGAAGAAAAAA
RNAcentral lists this long non-coding RNA (207 nucleotides) under Trifolium pratense (red clover). RNAcentral's name for it is "long non-coding RNA (TPRA_LNC000321)". Lineage: Eukaryota; Viridiplantae; Streptophyta; Magnoliopsida; Fabales; Fabaceae. The record is from RNAcentral.